AGCCCUUCCUAACGCUGUUGAAUUAAUUUCUAAACAGAAAGGGGUAACUAUCCCCCUCAUAAACCCUUUGCGCCGCCUCUGGUCCUGUGCGUUACAACAAAUGCUUCAAUUUUGUGAUUCCUAUUCCUUAAGUUUCAAUAGCGGAGAAGUCGGCCUUGUAUUCACUUUGUGUGCCACUGAAAUUUUAGCAAUGAUUACAAUGGCAAUUUCUUAUGUUUCGCUUUACGUUAAUUUCUUGCUUUUUCAAUUUCAAAUAUCAGACGCCAUUUCGACAACUGAGUAAUUUUUGUGAAGUGAUUCUUGCUACAGCUACACUGGUUUUCUUAAACGCAGAAAACAAUAGACUGGUAUGCACACGAGCCGUUUAGCCUCCUCAAAAGAAAUCUGGAAACAUAGCUACAAAUUUACAAGCGGAUUUUUUGACCGCAUUUUUUGAACAUUUCAAAACCAUCCACACAUAGUUGCUUGAAUUGAAUUGUCUCCUUUAGGAGGCUCUUUAUUUUUAUAAACAAAAUUAUGGCGACAGUGCAAAUACUUGGCAAAAGAAGAUUUUUUUCAGGGCAUCAACCUCUCUUCUUAUCUACAGACACAUAAAAUAUGUAUGCUUUAUUUGCCUCUCUCUGUAAUGUUUGAGAUCCUAUUAACUUAUCCCUUUAAGUAUUCCUUCCUUUAUUGACAGGUAUGUUGUAUAGAUGGUAAAAAUAUGGAGGAUUGAUUCGUUCUGGAAAUGUGUAGAAAACAGAUUCUUAAUAAAGAACUCUGCACUUACAAAUAUUGCACAUAGUUUGUUUACAGAAUUUGGCAUACUUUCGAAGCAUGCUCUAAUUUGUUUGCUAAAUCGUAGUGGAAUACCAUAUGGUGUAAACAGCAGACGUAAACCUGAAAAAACAUAGAUACAUUUAAAUGCAGACGGUUCGUUUCCACAACUUCACCUUGUGCUCCAGCGUGAAUAUAUCACUGAUCGAUAUAUAUUCGAAAGUAAACAUUCAAGUUUUCAAAAUGGCAAGACAAGCUUCAUUGUUGUGUUUUUUUCUGCUUGCUGUUGCAACGUCUUGCUAUGCACAGCAAAUGCCAGGAGGAAUCGUGGAAAUGACAAAAGAUGAGAUUGAAAAAGAUGACAUUCUCCAAGAAGGAGUGACUUUUGCAGUGACAGAAUACAAUUUGAAAACCAACUCAAGACUCAUUGCUACCAAAAUUUUGCAAGCUACAAGGCAAGUCGUUGCUGGUAUUAAAUAUGCAGCUCUUGUUGAGAUGCGACCACGGCUUUGCGUGCACGAUCCCAGUCUCAAGAUUGCUCCAUGUCCACCAGAAUUAAACUACCCUACCAAAUGCAUUUUUGAAAUUCUACAUCAAGCCUGGAAGCCUUCAAAAUACGCUCUUCUGUCUACAAGAUGCUUGAGAGGAUAAUGUUCUUAAUCAAACAAUAUCUCUAAUCGUAAUUACUUGACAAUUUUAAUACAAAAAUAUCUCUAAUCGUAAUUACUUGACAAUUGAAAAAGAAUAAUACAAAGUAA
Molecule: non-coding RNA, 1514 nt
Organism: Rhopilema esculentum
Lineage: Eukaryota; Metazoa; Cnidaria; Scyphozoa; Rhizostomeae; Rhizostomatidae
Source: RefSeq, a predicted model, not a curated record